RNAcentral lists this transfer RNA (74 nucleotides) under Paeniglutamicibacter gangotriensis. RNAcentral describes it as "tRNA-Gly". It matches the Rfam family "tRNA". From Rfam's summary of the family: Transfer RNA (tRNA) molecules are approximately 80 nucleotides in length. RNAcentral also lists the same sequence under 3 other names. The record is from RNAcentral. Lineage: Bacteria; Bacillati; Actinomycetota; Actinomycetes; Micrococcales; Micrococcaceae.
GGGGAUGUAGCUUAAUGGUAAAGCCUCAGUUUUCCAAACUGAUGACGCGGGUUCGAUUCCCGUCAUCCCCUCCA